UACGUAGGGAGCAAGCGUUGUCCGGAUUUAUUGGGCGUAAAGAGCUCGUAGGCGGUUAAGUAAGUCAGGUGUGAAACCUCCAGGCUCAACCUGGAGACGCCACUUGAUACUGCUUUGACUUGAGUUCGGUAGGGGUAAGGCGGAAUUCCUGGUGUAGCGGUGGAAAUGACGCAGAUAUCAGGAGGAACACCGGUGGCGAAGGCGGGUCUCUGGGCCGAUAUCGACGCUGAGGAGCGAAAGCGUGGGGAGCGAACAGG
RNAcentral lists this ribosomal RNA (257 nucleotides) under uncultured bacterium. Its description in RNAcentral is "partial 16S ribosomal RNA". It matches the Rfam family "Bacterial small subunit ribosomal RNA", at positions 524 to 776 of the family's 1533-position model. The record is from RNAcentral.